CUCAGUAACACGUGGCCAAGCUACCCUGUGGACACGGACAACCUCGGGAAACUGAGGCUAAUCCGCGAUACCGCUCCCAGGCUGGAGUGCCGGGAGCGCCAAACGCUCCGGCGCCACAGGAUGCGGCUGCGGCCGAUUAGGUAGACGGUGGGGUAACGGCCCACCGUGCCGAUAAUCGGUACGGGUGGUGAGAGCCAGAGCCCGGAGAUGGAAUCUGAGACAAGAUUCCAGGCCCUACGGGGCGCAGCAGGCGCGAAACCUUUACACUGCACGACAGUGCGAUAAGGGGACCCCGAGUGCGAGGGCAUACAGUCCUCGCUUUUGUGUACCGUAGGGAGGUACACGAAUAAGGGCUGGGCAAGACCGGUGCCAGCCGCCGCGGUAAUACCGGCAGCUCAAGUGAUGGCCGCUGUUAUUGGGCCUAAAGCGUCCGUAGCCGGCCGCACAAGUCCGUCGGGAAAUCCACCCG
RNAcentral lists this ribosomal RNA (469 nucleotides) under uncultured Halobacteria archaeon. Its description in RNAcentral is "bacterial SSU rRNA". It matches the Rfam family "Archaeal small subunit ribosomal RNA", at positions 89 to 557 of the family's 1478-position model. The record is from RNAcentral. Lineage: Archaea; Methanobacteriati; Methanobacteriota; Halobacteria.